This is a non-coding RNA of Arachis ipaensis, 933 nucleotides long. Lineage: Eukaryota; Viridiplantae; Streptophyta; Magnoliopsida; Fabales; Fabaceae. The record is from RefSeq and is a predicted model, not a curated record.
CAGGGUUCGGCCGCCGCACCGCAACACUCGGGUCCACCAUUUCACUGGUUUUUGUCGCCUUUCUGUCUCUAUUCUUCACCAGCGACUCUGAUCUUUGUCCUUCUUCCUCAACCUCUGUCUUUGCGACCUACUCCUCUAAGAUUAAGGGUGGACAAGAAGUAGAAAACAGAACAUGAUCUUCACAUACAUGCAUUUAAGAGGUGGAAAGUUUUCAAACAACAAAUAAAAGACAUGCUUCAUCAUAGUGAUCAAAGGGCAUCGAGUUGAAAAAGCCUAGUGCUUCUCUUUAUACGUUUCCAUGCCAGAUUGCAUAUGUAAACAGGAAGAAGCAAGUAGAAACUGUAGCUCUAGGAAAUGUAUGAUGUUUUGAGUGUAAAUAUAUGGCCUUUAAGAACACGUUCAAUACCUGUAAUUUAUUUUUGUAUCAUUUAGUUCGAUUUUCUUUUUUCUUUUUAAAUGUGGUAGAGUUAUUUUAAGUAGAGUAUAUAAAAAGGCCAUGAAUUAAGUGUUAAUUGUUAUUUUCAUUUAAACUCAACAAAUGACACUUAAGUGUACAUUAAAUAAUUGUAUACCUACACAGACACGUUCCUGAUUCCUGAAUGUUGAUUGCAUCAUGAAUCAUUCUUGGAUCCCCGCUGACUGCUAAGCUUAGCAUGGCAAUUUGAUUGCGUGAAGAUUAUAUUGAAGGUUUAUAAUUUUGGUUCUUGAUUUACCAAUUAGAGGUAAUCGAUAUUUGCAUGAGUUGUCUACAUGACUACUUCCAAUAAUGGCAUUCUGAGUUUUGAUCUUAUACAUUACAUUGGAUUUCGUGGUAAGAAUUUGUGGAGUGGCAGCAUGAUAAUAUUUUCAGAUUGCACUGUAUAUUGUUACAGCUACAAUUACAACUAUAUAUAUAAUGCUCUGUUUCAUUGAGCCAAUUCUAGGCUCUACUUA